Molecule: ribosomal RNA, 420 nt
Filed under: uncultured bacterium
Lineage: Bacteria
Description: bacterial SSU rRNA
Rfam family: Bacterial small subunit ribosomal RNA
Source: RNAcentral
UAAGGAAUAUUGCUCAAUGGGAGAAAUCCUGAAGCAGCAACGCCGCGUGGAGGAUGAAGGGUCUAUGACUUGUAAACUCCUGUAAAGAAGGAAAAAAUUCCCAUUUGAUGGGAGAUGAUGGUAUUUCUGGAGUAAGCCCCGGCUAACUACGUGCCAGCAGCCGCGGUAAUACGUAGGGUGCGAGCGUUAAUCGGAAUUACUGGGCGUAAAGCGUGCGCAGGCGGCUUUGUAAGACAGAUGUGAAAUCCCCGGGCUCAACCUGGGAACUGCAUUUGUGACUGCAAGGCUAGAGUGCGUCAGAGNGAGGUGGAAUUCCGCGUGUAGCAGUGAAAUGCGUAGAGAUGCGGAGGAACACCGAUGGCGAAGGCAGCCUCCUGGGAUGACACUGACGCUCAUGCACGAAAGCGUGGGGAGCAAACA